Non-coding RNA from Xyrichtys novacula (pearly razorfish), 394 nucleotides. NCBI's taxonomy places the organism in Eukaryota, Metazoa, Chordata, Actinopteri, Labriformes, Labridae. The record is from the annotation of a GenBank genome assembly.
CUCACAGAAACACAGACUAACUCUCAACAAAAUGACACAUGGUACAACCUCAGGUCAUGCAAAAUUCCAUGAAGAAGGAGUCUGGCACAUGAAAGUUACUGGGAACAGAUAUGAGACCAGACAGAGAAGCCAGCAGGCUCUGACCAGAUCUGAUAAGGACGAGUUGAGCAAGAUCCUGUCCUGCAAUCCAGGCACAGCAGCAGCAGCAGCAAGACUGGUGAGUGCAUCUGACCAUCAUAAAGUAAGUGAAACCAUAGUGAUGAGUGUAACAAUGUUAACAGCUGUCUUAUUUCUGUUUAAAGGUGUGCCAAGUGUAUUGCACAGAGAAGGAGAGUUGAAUGAGGACAUGAUGGAAACAUAAACGUUCCUGCAGAGGAUCAGAUCUCCUCGUCUG